RNAcentral lists this ribosomal RNA (211 nucleotides) under uncultured soil bacterium. RNAcentral's name for it is "partial 16S ribosomal RNA". It matches the Rfam family "Bacterial small subunit ribosomal RNA", at positions 27 to 241 of the family's 1533-position model. The record is from RNAcentral.
GGACGAACGCUGGCGGCGUGCUUAACACAUGCAAGUCGAGCGGAAAGGCCCUUCGGGGUACUCGAGCGGCGAACGGGUGAGUAACACGUGAGUAAUCUGCCCUUCACUCUGGGAUAGCCCUCCGAAAGGGGGAUUAAUACCGGAUACGACGCGCCUCUGCAUGGGGGUGUGUGGAAACUUUUUUGGGGUGGGGGAUGUGCUCGCGGCCUAU